RNAcentral lists this ribosomal RNA (275 nucleotides) under uncultured bacterium. RNAcentral's name for it is "partial 16S ribosomal RNA". It matches the Rfam family "Bacterial small subunit ribosomal RNA", at positions 79 to 353 of the family's 1533-position model. The record is from RNAcentral.
CUAAGUUUGAUGGCGACCGGCGCACGGGUGAGUAACACGUAUCCAACCUGCCGAUGACUCGGGGAUAGCCUUUCGAAAGAAAGAUUAAUACCCGAUGGCAUAGUUCUUCCGCAUGGUGGAACUAUUAAAGAAUCUCGGUCAUCGAUGGGGAUGCGUUCCAUUAGGUUGUUGGCGGGGUAACGGCCCACCAAGCCUUCGAUGGAUAGGGGUUCUGAGAGGAAGGUCCCCCACAUUGGAACUGAGACACGGUCCAAACUCCUACGGGAGGCAGCAUG